Triticum dicoccoides is the source of this 361-nucleotide long non-coding RNA. RefSeq lists it as uncharacterized. The transcript is spliced from 3 exons. NCBI's taxonomy places the organism in Eukaryota, Viridiplantae, Streptophyta, Magnoliopsida, Poales, Poaceae. The record is from RefSeq and is a predicted model, not a curated record.
UACCCACUCCGGAUGGGAGGAGAAUAGAUCAAGAUUGACAGAAAAUUGUCCUCUCCGUGGAUCAACAUCUACGGUGUUCUUCAGCAUGGAUGGAGCUCCUGGCACUUCGUCGUCUGUAGAGUUUCCAAAUGUUAUCGAACUCGGGAUGGCCAACAUCUAAAAAAUGACCAGCUGCCAAUUGAGGUCUUGGGUAGCCAAUCAAGUCGCAUACAAGAUAAACCCUUUUAAAUAGCUCUAUAUAAACUUUGUAUCUCAGGAUUGCUCUACAAAACAGUUACCUUGCGAUGUAAUAAUUUAUCUUGCCAUUCCUUCUGAUGUUAGAUGCACAAUGGUUUAUGCUCAAUAAAGAUAUAUACAUGAA